GCCCGAUUAGCUCAGCUGGUUAGAGCGUCGUACUAAUAUGUCCAAAUCGGUCAUAUCUGGUAAUGCGAAGGUCAACAGUUCAAUCCUGUUAUUGGGCA
Diplogelasinospora grovesii is the source of this 98-nucleotide non-coding RNA. NCBI's taxonomy places the organism in Eukaryota, Fungi, Ascomycota, Sordariomycetes, Sordariales, Diplogelasinosporaceae. The record is from the annotation of a GenBank genome assembly.